This is a small nucleolar RNA of Bos indicus x Bos taurus (hybrid cattle), 48 nucleotides long. The record is from Ensembl. NCBI's taxonomy places the organism in Eukaryota, Metazoa, Chordata, Mammalia, Artiodactyla, Bovidae.
CUGACUGGCUACAUGAUGAAUAAAAUCAAAUCACCAUCUUUCGGCUGA